UUUUCUUCCCCAAUUCGCAUUCUACUGUGAAAUACUUCGCAUCUUCAUUCUUACACCCUUCGCAUCCCUUCGCAUUUAUCUCUUUAAAAAUUCUGCAAUUUCAUCAUUUUAUGACCCCAUUUGCGAAGUUGAGUAUUUAUUUCCAAAAAUGCGAAACUCCAGGGACAAUAUUUGAAAUCUUCUGUUUUCUUCCCCAAUUCGCAUUCUACUGUGAAAUACUUCGCAUCUUCAUUCUUACACCCUUCGCAUCCCUUCGCAUUUAUCACCUUAAAAAUUCUGCAAUUUCAUCAUUUUAUGACUCCAUUUGCGAAGUUGGGUAUUUAUUUCCAAAAAUGCGAAACUCCGGGGACAAUAUUUGAAAUCUUCUGUUUUCUUCCCCAAUUCGCAUUCUACUGUGAAAUACUUCGCAUCUUCAUUCUUACACCCUUCGCAUCCCUUCGCAUUUAUCACCUUCGCAUUUUAAGCUAAUUAAUCGAAUGCGAUUCACAAAAUUUUCAUUCAAGAUGCGAACACAGUUUAGUUCUUGAACUCUAAACUUGCGAAAUCAAAAAUUCAUAUGUUGAACCCAUAUGCGAAUAUUAACCCAAUUGACUUCAAAUUGACUCAUAGAUGCGAACACUCGAUUGUUUUACUUUCGCAAAAUGAGCAUCAACAACUCCACAAUCGAGUUUUUAAAUUCUUACAAACAACAAUUUCAUAGUCCUUGACUUCGCGUCUUUCUUCACGAAUCACCCCUCAAUCAUCAAUCCAAUUGCGAAUCAAAACUCAUGUUCUUGCUUUAUCGAUUCAUCGACUACACUCAUACAAAUGCGAACAAUACUCAAUUUCAAAAUCGAUUGAAACUUAUAGCAAAGCUAAAUCCAACUUCGCAUUCAAGCAGUGUUAUUGAUUCGCAGUCACAAGCAACCACCCCACACCCACUCUAUGACCAGCCAUACCUCCCCACCUUACCUAUGUCACUUCAAUGUUCCCUUACACUCAAUUUACCCUCCUUCCCACGUUUUUAGAGCGGGAACAAACAUCCUCUCUCCUCAUUUCUCUCAAUUGCCCUCAUUUCACUAAAGUAUCAAACACCACUUUUCUCUCAAACUCUUCUACACAAAUUUUCGAGAUCCAAGGCUGGAUUCAAGUGUUCUUCCACACUUAAUUCCCGAAAACCUUCAAGGCAUCUCCAAGUGUUCUUAAAUUAAACACUUCCAUUCUUCAACACUUAUCUGCUGAAAUCACUUAAGGUGAGUUCAUACCCCUACAUUUUCAUGUUUUCUCAAGUUUUCAGGGGGGGAAUACAAGUUAAAACACUAAGAACAUAUCUAAAUUUUUCUAACAGCCUUCAUCAGAAAAGUUCAUCUCCAUUCACGGACUGUUUUGGGCAUCUUAAACAUUUUUGUUUUCAAAACUGUACAAGGUGCAAAUAGUUCAAGUUUUUAGCUUUAAAAUGGCUACUUGCACAUCUCCAUACGAUUUUUCUACAAUUUAUGGUGAUUUUUACAAAACUGCCUAUCAUUUCAAACAACAAUCCGGACCAGUCUGUGAUUAUGGACUUUUUCACCCAAGUUAGAGGUCAUUAUAAAUUGCGAUAAAAAUUAUGAGCAAACUAGACACAUUUUGUGAACUCUCAGAAUUUACGGAUCUAGUUUUCGACUUCGUAUGAUUUUUCCAAAACAGGGCAAAAUUGCUAAAUUUUGCCAACAGCAUGUAAAUAUCAUAACACUUUGUAUUAUGUUGAGCAAAGUGUAAAAUCAUAAGUUCUAAUAUUUGAAUGUGUUUCCUUGCUAGUUUAUCAUUAUGAACUGAAACUAAGACAUUCAUAUUAAAUAUUAUUCAUUCAUUUUGGAACACGUACUAAUAAACUAUAAAAAGUAUAGUUUGAUAAAUCCACAACACUAAUACUUUUCCAUAAAAGAGUUCAUACAUAGUACAUACAUUUUAGAUAAACUAUAAUAGGUAUAGUUUAUGAUACAUCACUCUACGCUCUCGUACAAGAAGGUUACAUUCAUACAAGAAAUAUUUAUAUUCACACACAUUCACGUAAACUUGUUAUCCUAUAUUGUGAGUUUCUCUAUUUUUCUCUCUCUCUCUCUCUCCCCGUACGUCCGAGUGCGGGAUAUAAUUCCUGGUAGUUAUAAUCAGAAUCUCCUUGAGGGAGAACGUGAUACUUGUAUAUAGAUCUAUAUUGGGAUUGACACCCCACACCUUGCUGCUAGCUACAGUUGGACCUGCAGGUCUACGGGUGACAAUUGUCAUUUCAUUUUUCGCGACACUGAGAACGUCGUGGCAGGUUCACAUAGUCAUAGUAUGAUUAUAACGGCUCACAUAGGGAACAAUCCAUAAGUUUACGGGAUUUUAUUUUUAAAACCUAAAUGAGUUUUAUGUUGAUUUAAAGUCACCUUUUAUCUCUAUGGGUACAAAUACAAAGUACCGGGUCUCUAUACAAAAAGAGGUACAGAUACAAAGUACCGGGUCUCUAUACAAAGUUAUUAUGAUAUUAAAACUACACUUCCUCUAAAAUUGUUAGACUUCAACUAUAGUCGCUGAGCGUAUAUGUUGAGUCAUAUAAGAAUUUAGUCUUGAUUGGCCUAGAAUUGGUGGUGCCCGCCUCAUCUCCUGUUCCUCGUUGGGUUGUGGACCUAGGGCAGACCCACUAUAUUCAACGUUUUAUCCAAGUUGAACCUUAUAUAACUUUAUAUGUUGGACGAUUAUAGAGGAACUCUACGGAAUACUCUAGGGUUCAUUAAAGCAUAAUGCAGGAUUAUUUCUAUUCAUACUUAACUAAGAAAAUAUUGGAUUUUCUGGAAAUCAAACUAAAUCGAUUUUACAAGGAAAAACGGUUUCUACUUCAAACAAAACUCUUAUGAACUCACCAACCUUUGUGUUGACACUCUUUAAAACUACUUGUAUUCUCAGGAAAUCAGUGAAACAGGCAAACUUCAUCGCUUUGAGGAUGGGACGCUAAACCGUCAACAAUUUAUUUUGUCAUCAUAAUGUAAUUGCUUUUGAAACAUGUAAACAUAUACUUUGGUGUGACUUUUGCAAUUAUAUAUAUAUGGUGGUUGUUUUUACUUUGAACACUAUUAUACACGUCGUUGUGAUACUGUACAUGAAGUCCUCCACCCCCAGACGUUUCCGCCAUCCUUGGUUUGGGGGUGUGACAGAUUGGUAUCAGAGCAUUGUUUAUAGUGAACUAAGUAUAUCGAACCACAUAAGAUAUACAAACUAUAAAUGCAUUGGGACUAAGGUCUCUGAUUUUAAGAUUUCAAAACCACUAUACCUUUAAGAAUAAAUAACUUUUGUUAAAAGUAUACAUGCAUGCAUACAUACUAAGGUCAGCAUCAUUUUAGGACAAAACAAAAGUAAUGAUUGUUGGAUAUCACAGGUAAGCCUGGGGAUGUAUGAUCAGUCUUGGGAAUAGCAUAGCCUGAUCAACUAUGCUGGUCCGAGGAGUGAUUAGCAUAUGCCCAAGAAUGGUUGUGAUGUGGCAACAAGUCUAAAAACUUACCAACACUACCACAAUGAAAUACCAUAGGGGUAUUUUGGCAUUAUUAAAAUUACAUAUGUGAGAACUAAAUAGAUCUUUAUCAAUAGGUCAAUAGUUGCUUAGUGGAUACAUUAAAAUUUUAUGUAUCCAGGACGUCAUAGACUUAGAAUCUGUGGAUCUUUGCUCUACUUCCUGUUCUCGUUGGAUUGGGGAUUUAGAGUUAGGGUCGCUUAUUCGAAGGUCUAUCCUGUCCCGAAUACAUAUAAUUAGUAUGCACUAAACAAUUUGUUGAAGUACCUGAUAAAGAUCAUCGUAUAAUUAGCUAAUUAGUACGUUUGCUUAAUUAUUUCUUAUAUCCCCCUUUCUCGCGAAGAUAUCAUGGCUGGAUUUCCAUCCACACGACGACCCGUACUACCCUAACCACGACAAUACCAAAUGGCUCCGAGAGGAGCCAGAGAAUGAUUACCCAACCCCUGUAGAUGGUCACCAAGCUGAAGGCUAUGCUGAUGGUUCUGACUCCGACCCUGAAGUGGAGAACUUAACCCCGAUGACCCUUGUUCCGAAUCCCAACCCUUGACCGACUUUCAAGGCCCGACGCCUCCUUGGGUAGAGUGCAUGGAAACCUGGAGCAAAGAACAAGACCAACACAUGUCGUUUAAUAGAGAACGAAGCUUCUACAACAUAAACGAAGGAAGCUCAACAGAUACAAUUUCUCCAAUCCUGGUCCAUAGAGUUGCCCGAAACGAGAUUCUGGGUAGAACAACUCUCCAUAGUAUCGCAAAGGUUGAUGCAAAUGCAAGAAUACAUACGAUCCGCACCAAGCGCCUUGAACACACUCGUGAAAAAUCUAAGAGAGACCACAAAACCCACUAACUCGUGAAGUUCAUUCAUAUGGACUUCCUUUAUGAACUACAUAUAAGGAAUUCUUAAAUCGAAGAAAAAUGCAGGAAAAAUCAAAUUCUAUAACAACUGACUUGUCUUUACUAGUAGAAAUUUAUCAUCUGAUCAUUUUUCCUUUUUGCAAACUCAUGACAGAACAAUGCCACCAAGGAAAAGACCCAGACCUUCGGGCAGCACAGCGCCACCACCUCCGACGCCACCUCCCCAGUUUGAUCCUGAAAUGUUCCAAGCUGCAGUGACAGCAGCCGUGGUAGCUGCAAUGUCACAAAUUGGCACAAAUAGCAAUGGUGGUGCUGGAUCUGGAGCCACAAACCCUAACCACGGGGAUAGUGCAGGACGCACAAGGGAAUGCACUUACAAGGACUUCACAAAUGGCAAACCCGAUUCCUUUGAUGGAAGUGGGGGUGUCCUCGCACUAAUUCAAUGGAUCGAGAGGACCGAAGCGAUCUUUGAGAUUUGUGCUUGCCCCGAGCGAGCAAAGUCAAGUACGCGACAUUCACCUUCAUCGGAAGAGCUCUCACUUGGUGGAACGGCAAAGUUAAGUCGCUUACGCUUGCAGUGGCUAACUCGUUAAGUUGGGAGGACUUAAAGAAGAUGAUGUUGAAGGAAUAUUGCCCAAGAGGUGAAGUGCAAAAGCUGGAGCAAGAACUAUGGAAUCUCAGAAUGGCAGGCUCCGACCUUACAACUUACACCAACCGAUUUUGUGAUCUAGCACUCCUUUGUCCCGCUAUGGUCACCCCGGAAGACAAAAAGUUGGAGCGUUACCUCUGGGGAUUGUCCCCCGAAAUUCAAGAUAGCGUGCUCGCCUCAAGACCAACUACCUUCGACAGCGCCAAGGAGUUAGCACAACAACUCAUCGACCACCAUGCCCACCAUGACACUAUGGCAACCACCCUUACCCAAGCAAGAGGAGGGAACAACGAAAGAAAGUUUUGGGACAACAAGAAAGACCAAUCAACCCAAGGCCUCGCUAAGAAGCAACAGAUCCUUGCUGUUCAUGCUGCCACAACCCUCACCACACCAACUCCCAUGAAACCAUACGCAGGAACACUUCCAAAAUGCAACAAGUGUAACUUCCAUCACACUGGGGCUUGCCGAAAGUUGCAUUGCAAAAACUGCGACAGAGAGGGGCACACUGCUCGUUUCUGUAAGGCACCAGCACGACCCAUCAACCAGGUACCCGGCUCUGGAGCAAGCCCAACCUGUUACGAGUGUGGAGAAACGGGACACUUUAUAAGGGAAUGCCCAAGGACAAGAGAUGCUGGUGGUGGCGGGAGGGUGUUUGCAAUCACCGAGGGAGAAACCACUCCGGAACUGCCCGCAAAUAUCAGUACGUGUUUCUAACAUCGACAUUUAAAUCCCGAAUUUCUUUAUAUGAUAAAUCUAGCGUCGAUUAAAGCAUGCAUUGUAGUAAUCAUGUGACACCGGGCGGGUCAUUCCUCACCAUAAUCAAAUUCUUGUGCUACGAAAAGUCAUCCCCAUCUUUCCUCUAAAUUCCUGGAUCCCCAUUCGAAGUGCAAAUUUCGGGACGAAAUUCCCUUUAACGGGGGGAUGAUGUGACAACCGUCAAAUUCUGGUCAAUUCAAAGUCAAAUAAAGUCAACAAGUCAAACCGGUCAGCUCCACUAACCCGUGUGUGCUUGGACUUACGCUCAGUAUUUACUAAACAAGUCGCUACUCUAACAAGAAAACAUGAAUCGAAAAGUACGUACAACUAGAUCUCUUUAACCUAAAAACUGUACUACAUGGCGAGCCAAACUGAUGAAAACCAUGUUGCAUACUCAUCGGGAAUGUAUAAUAUGCGUUUUUCCUGGUGAGUAUUCAUAUAAAGUAUUUAUUUCCAAAAAUGCGAAACUCCAGGGACAAUAUUUGAAAUCUUCUGUUUUCUUCCCCAAUUCGCAUUCUACUGUGAAAU
Molecule: long non-coding RNA, 6289 nt
Filed under: Lactuca sativa (garden lettuce)
Lineage: Eukaryota; Viridiplantae; Streptophyta; Magnoliopsida; Asterales; Asteraceae
Description: long non-coding RNA (LSAT_LNC010047)
Source: RNAcentral